UACGGGGGGGGCAAGCGUUGUUCGGAAUUACUGGGCGUAAAGGGCUCGUAGGCGGCCGACUAAGUCCGACGUGAAAUCCCCAGGCUUAACCUGGGAACUGCGUCGGAUACUGGAUGGCUUGAAUUCGGGAGAGGGAUGCAGAAUUCCAGGUGUAGCGGUGAAAUGCGUAGAUAUCUGGAGGAAUACCGGUGGCGAAGGCGGCAUCCUGGACCGACAUUGACGCUGAGGAGCGAAAGCUAGGGGAGCAAACGGG
This 253-nucleotide ribosomal RNA is filed under the name uncultured bacterium. RNAcentral describes it as "partial 16S ribosomal RNA". It matches the Rfam family "Bacterial small subunit ribosomal RNA", at positions 524 to 776 of the family's 1533-position model. The record is from RNAcentral.